CGGAACGGGUGAGUAACGCGUGAGGAACCUGCCUCAAAGAGGGGGACAACAGUUGGAAACGACUGCUAAUACCGCAUAAGCCCACGGCUCGGCAUCGAGCAGAGGGAAAGGGAGCAAUCCGCUUUGAGAUGGCCUCGCGUCCGAUUAGCUAGUUGGUGAGGUAACGGCCCACCAAGGCGACGAUCGGUAGCCGGACUGGGAGGUUGAACGGCCACAUUGGGACUGAGACACGGCCCAG
Molecule: ribosomal RNA, 238 nt
Filed under: uncultured bacterium
Lineage: Bacteria
Description: partial 16S ribosomal RNA
Rfam family: Bacterial small subunit ribosomal RNA
Source: RNAcentral